This 440-nucleotide ribosomal RNA is filed under the name uncultured bacterium. RNAcentral's name for it is "partial 16S ribosomal RNA". It matches the Rfam family "Bacterial small subunit ribosomal RNA", at positions 338 to 795 of the family's 1533-position model. The record is from RNAcentral.
CCUACGGGUGGCAGCAGUGGGGGAUAUUGCACAAUGGGGGGAACCCUGAUGCAGCGACGCCGCGUGGGUGAAGAAGCGCCUCGGCGCGUAAAGCCCUGUCAGCAGGGAAGAAAAUGACGGUACCUGAAGAAGAAGCCCCGGCUAACUAGGGGCCAGCAGCCGCGGUAAUAUGUACGGGGCAAGCGUUAUCCGGAUUUACUGGGUGUAAAGGGGGCGCAGGCGGGGACGCAAGCCAGGAGUGAAAGCCCGGGGCCCAACCCCGGGACUGCACUUGGAACUGGGUGGCUUGAGUGCAGGGGGGGCAGGCGGAAUUCCUGGUGUAGCGGUGAAAUGCGUAGAUAUCAGGAGGAACACCGGUGGCGAAGGCGGCCUACUGGACUGCAACUGACGUUGAGGCCCGAAAGCGUGGGGAGCAAACAGGAUUAGAUACCCCAGUAGUC